UACGUAGGUGAGCAGUGUUGUCGGAAUCACUGGGCGUAAAGGGUGCGUAGGCGGGUCUUAAGUCAGAGGUGAAAUCCUGGAGCUCAACUCCAGAACUGCCUUCGAUACUGGCGAUCUUGAGUCCGGAAGAGGUGAGUGGAACUCCUAGUGUAGAGGUGGAAUUCGUAGAUAUUAGGAAGAACACCAGUGGCGAAGGCGGCUCACUGGUCCGGUACUGACGCUGAGGUGCGAAAGCGUGGGGAGCAAACAGG
Molecule: ribosomal RNA, 251 nt
Filed under: uncultured bacterium
Lineage: Bacteria
Description: partial 16S ribosomal RNA
Rfam family: Bacterial small subunit ribosomal RNA
Source: RNAcentral